RNAcentral lists this unclassified non-coding RNA (1640 nucleotides) under Hevea brasiliensis (rubber tree). Lineage: Eukaryota; Viridiplantae; Streptophyta; Magnoliopsida; Malpighiales; Euphorbiaceae. The record is from RNAcentral.
GCUGAACGGCGAAAAAUAAUUCAUAUAAAUCAAAUUAGUUUGGGAUCAAGACUUGAUUGUUAUUACUUGUUUUUCCUAUUUCUUGAUUCAUUUUGAGUUGAGAUGUUCUGAAACUUGAAUCUUACUUGCACUAACAAACUUGAUAAACACACAACUAUUUUUUCUUAAAACAAAGAUUCAAGAAUGGCAAGAGACUUGCCAUUUCAGGUUCAGUCUUCUCUAUUUUCUAGCAGGCAUUUGACGAACCUACACUUAAAUGAUAAAAGCAAAGGAAAAGAAAAAGGAAAUCAUCAAACGAGUUACACAUCACAAGAAGAAUUAAUCCUAUUUCCUAAACACCUUUCAGGUGGCUACCAUUUUCCUUAAGAAGCAAGCAAGUCUUGAAACGAGCAGAGUAUUAGCUACUUAAUGACAUGAACUCUCUUCAAAGCCUUCAAAAGCAAAGGGUAAGCUGUCAGGUGGGGAAAAUGGCCUUCUGUUUCGAGUAUCUCAACGCUGGCAUGACCUCCCACCUUACUCUUCAUGUAAUGGGCAACGAAUUGUGGAACUGCAAAGUCUUUCUCGGACUGGAUUAUGGUACAAGGUACUAAAACUGUUGGAAGAAUGCUUCGUAGAUCACUUGAAAACACGGUUUUAGCAGUACUAAACGCUAUCUUGGGUUUCAUUCUCUUUAAGCUAUCUUCAAACUCUGAUAUUGCUUGUUUGUUCUUCACACCAACAGCUCUUGGAGCAAAGUCUUGAACCCAACUUGAAAAAUUGUUAUUUAUGUUUCUAAGUAUUUCAUUGAUACCUGCUCUCUCAAAGCCUCCUUCAUAUCCUUUUGCAUUAAGGUACCUGAACAAAAAUAAAAUAAAAUUCUCUGAAACAAGAAACAAGAGAUGAUAUAAUACAUUUGUAUCUGUGAAAUUUAAAGGAAAAGAUCACAGACCUUGGCGAGCCACUGAGUAAAAUAAGGUGCUGAAAGAGUUCUGGCCUUUCUAUUGCAGCUAUGCACCCAAUCAUGGCUGACAUAGAAUGACCCAUAUAGAUGGUCUUCUUUACAUUUAGCUCAUCAAGAAGGGUCACCAAGUCUCUUGCAUAUCCAGUGAAGUUGGAGUACUUGUUUGGAUCAUAAAAUUUGGGGUUUACAUUUGGUGAGAAAACCAAGUCAAAAACCACAAUCUUGAAGUAUAAUGCAAGAUAAGGUAUGAGAAAGUGCCAAACACUCUGGUCUGAACCAAACCCAUGAGCAAGAACUAAGGUCUCACUGCUAUUUCCAUACACCUUAGCGUUUAGAGAUUCAACAAUACCUCCUCUACCAUGCUCAAAAAACACACCCAUGUUUGCACUCAUUAGUGCAACAGUAGAGAAGAUCAACACUACUAAAAAAUGACUCACCUAGUUGUUUGGCUUCGGUUUCUUGGGCUAUAUAAAUAGGGUUUUUCAUGUAUCUCCUACACAAGUUUAAAAUUUUCAAAAAUCAUGGAAAAAUACCAUAUGAUUUCAUUAUUUUUUUUAGACUAUAUGAUUUCAUGAUUUUAUUAAAUGAGGCUAAGGUUUCUUCUUGACACUUUAAUUUUCUGUGGUAUUGCUCUUAGCACUUCAUUGCUAAAUGUCAUAAAACUGUUAUAAUUGUUAAUUUGGCAUAUAAUUUUUUUUUU